UACGUAGGUCCCGAGCGUUGUCCGGAUUUAUUGGGCGUAAAGCGAGCGCAGGUGGUUUAUUAAGUCUGGUGUAAAAGGCAGUGGCUCAACCAUUGUAUGCAUUGGAAACUGGUAGACUUGAGUGCAGGAGAGGAGAGUGGAAUUCCAUGUGUAGCGGUGAAAUGAGUAGAUAUAUGGAGGAACACCGGUGGCGAAAGCGGCUCUCUGGCCUGUAACUGACACUGAGGCUCGAAAGCGUGGGGAGCGAACAGG
Molecule: ribosomal RNA, 252 nt
Filed under: uncultured bacterium
Lineage: Bacteria
Description: partial 16S ribosomal RNA
Rfam family: Bacterial small subunit ribosomal RNA
Source: RNAcentral